This 253-nucleotide ribosomal RNA is filed under the name uncultured bacterium. RNAcentral's name for it is "partial 16S ribosomal RNA". It matches the Rfam family "Bacterial small subunit ribosomal RNA", at positions 524 to 776 of the family's 1533-position model. The record is from RNAcentral.
UACGGAGGGGGCUAGCGUUGUUCGGAAUUACUGGGCGUAAAGCGCACGUAGGCGGCUUUGUAAGUUAGAGGUGAAAGCCUGGAGCUUAACUCCAGAACUGCCUUUAAGACUGCAUCGCUUGAAUCCGCGAGAGGUGAGUGGAAUUCCGAGUGUAGAGGUGAAAUUCGUAGAUAUUCGGAAGAACACCAGUGGCGAAGGCGGCUCACUGGACCGGUAUUGACGCUGAGGUGCGAAAGCGUGGGGAGCAAACAGG